Molecule: ribosomal RNA, 464 nt
Filed under: Vreelandella stevensii
Lineage: Bacteria; Pseudomonadati; Pseudomonadota; Gammaproteobacteria; Oceanospirillales; Halomonadaceae
Description: partial 16S ribosomal RNA
Rfam family: Bacterial small subunit ribosomal RNA
Source: RNAcentral
CCUACGGGGAGCAGCAGUGGGGAAUAUUGGACAAUGGGGGGAACCCUGAUCCAGCCAUGCCGCGUGUGUGAAGAAGGCCCUCGGGUUGUAAAGCACUUUCAGUGAGGAAGAACGCCUGGUGGUUAAUACCCAUCAGGAAAGACAUCACUCACAGAAGAAGCACCGGCUAACUCCGUGCCAGCAGCCGCGGUAAUACGGAGGGUGCGAGCGUUAAUCGGAAUUACUGGGCGUAAAGCGCGCGUAGGUGGCUUGAUAAGCCGGUUGUGAAAGCCCCGGGCUCAACCUGGGAACGGCAUCCGGAACUGUCAAGCUAGAGUGCAGGAGAGGAAGGUAGAAUUCCCGGUGUAGCGGUGAAAUGCGUAGAGAUCGGGAGGAAUACCAGUGGCGAAGGCGGCCUUCUGGACUGACACUGACACUGAGGUGCGAAAGCGUGGGUAGCAAACAGGAUUAGAUACCCGGUAGUC